Molecule: ribosomal RNA, 554 nt
Filed under: uncultured euryarchaeote
Lineage: Archaea; Methanobacteriati; Methanobacteriota
Description: bacterial SSU rRNA
Rfam family: Archaeal small subunit ribosomal RNA
Source: RNAcentral
AUGGGGUGCAGCAGGCGCGAAAACUUUACAAUGCGGGAAACCGCGAUAAGGGGACACUGAGUGCCAGCAUACUAUGUUGGCUGUCCGCAUGUGUAAAAAGCAUGUGUUAGCAAGGGCUGGGCAAGACCGGUGCCAGCCGCCGCGGUAACACCGGCAGCCCGAGUGGUGAUCACUAUUAUUGGGUCUAAAGGGUCCGUAGCCGGUUUGAUCAGUCUUUUGGGAAAUCUGACAGCUUAACUGUUAGGCUUCCAAAGGAUACUGUCAGACUUGGGACCGGGAGAGGUAAGAGGUACUACAGGGGUAGGAGUGAAAUCUUGUAAUCCCUGUGGGACCACCAGUGGCGAAGGCGUCUUACCAGAACGGGUCCGACGGUGAGGGACGAAAGCUGGGGGCACGAGCCGGAUUAGAUACCCGGGUAGUCCCAGCCGUAAACGAUGCUCGCUAGGUGUCAGGAAUGGUGCGACCGUUUCUGGUGCCGCAGGGAAGCCGUGAAGCGAGCCACCUGGGAAGUACGGCCGCAAGGCUGAAACUUAAAGGAAUUGGCGGGGGAGCAC